Molecule: ribosomal RNA, 429 nt
Filed under: Gemmatimonadota bacterium
Lineage: Bacteria; Pseudomonadati; Gemmatimonadota
Description: Gemmatimonadetes bacterium partial 16S ribosomal RNA
Rfam family: Bacterial small subunit ribosomal RNA
Source: RNAcentral
UAGGGAAUCUUCGGCAAUGGACGAAAGUCUGACCGAGCAACGCCGCGUGAGUGAAGAAGGUUUUCGGAUCGUAAAACUCUGUUGUUAGAGAAGAACAAGGACGGUAGUAACUGAACGUCCCCUGACGGUAUCUAACCAGAAAGCCACGGCUAACUACGUGCCAGCAGCCGCGGUAAUACGUAGGUGGCAAGCGUUGUCCGGAUUUAUUGGGCGUAAAGCGAGCGCAGGCGGUUUCUUAAGUCUGAUGUGAAAGCCCCCGGCUCAACCGGGGAGGGUCAUUGGAAACUGGGAGACUUGAGUGCAGAAGAGGAGAGUGGAAUUCCAUGUGUAGCGGUGAAAUGCGUAGAUAUAUGGAGGAACACCAGUGGCGAAGGCGGCUCUCUGGUCUGUAACUGACGCUGAGGCUCGAAAGCGUGGGGAGCAAACAGG